Molecule: long non-coding RNA, 447 nt
Filed under: Homo sapiens (human)
Lineage: Eukaryota; Metazoa; Chordata; Mammalia; Primates; Hominidae
Description: non-protein coding lnc-SYNJ2BP-1:3
Source: RNAcentral
GGACUCAAUCUCCAGACUAUCUCCCCAGAGAAUCUUGUCAAGGCUUGGCUUUAAGCUUUGUUGGGAAAAUCAAAGACUCCAAGUUUGAUGACUGGAAGAAUAUUCGAGGACCCAGGCCUUGGGAAGAUCCUGACCUCCUCCAAGGAAGAAAUCCAGAAAGCCUUAAGACUAAGACAACUUGACUCUGCUGAUUCUUUUUUCCUUUUUUUUUUUUUUAAAUAAAAAUAUUAUUAACUGGACUUCCUAAUAUAUACUUCUAUCAAGUGGAAAGGAAAUUCCAGGCCCAUGGAAACUUGGAUAUGGGUAAUUUGAUGACAAAUAAUCUUCACUAAAGGUCAUGUACAGGUUUUUAUACUUCCCAGCUAUUCCAUCUGUGGAUGAAAGUAACAAUGUUGGCCACGUAUAUUUUACACCUCGAAAUAAAAAAUGUGAAUACUGCUCCAAAAA